Long non-coding RNA from Gopherus flavomarginatus (Mexican gopher tortoise), 1769 nucleotides. RefSeq lists it as uncharacterized. NCBI's taxonomy places the organism in Eukaryota, Metazoa, Chordata, Testudines, Testudinidae. The transcript is spliced from 3 exons. The record is from RefSeq and is a predicted model, not a curated record.
UUAGCCAACAUCUACUAAAUUCCCUGUACCAGUGGGAAUACACCAGUUCACUCAGGCCAUUUAUUUUUUGGUUUUAGAUCUUUGAUUAAAUUACCCCCCUUAUACAUUGCACUGGGCUUUGAGGAAAGGUCAGAGAGAUCUGAAUAUUUUUCAUCUCAGCAUCCUACUUGGUUUGAUGGUGCUAGAAUUGAAGGUAUUUGUCAAAGUCAGUGAGAAGGAGAUGUUUUCAUUCUGCAUCAGUAUUGCUCUCAGCCUUGCCCUGGGAAAAGACUGAUUUUUCUAAGAAAUGAGGGGGACUGAGUUUUUGCUUGCUAGACUGAAGAUUUCUGCUUAAAUAUACUAAAUUUAGUGUGUUGUGUGAUAGGAAGAUAAGAACUGUCCACUUAAGAUAGGGUCAGCAGUUUGGUGCAGCUUGCACAAUCUGAAAUCUCAUCAUCUUUUUUUCUUAGUGUUAAGUAAUAGACCACAGGUCAGGUCAGUUUUGAUCCUACUGUCCACUUGAGAAUUUUAAUCAAGAAGAAACUAGUUUCAGGAUUUCACACAGAGCGGAACUUCCUUUGAAGCCUGUGUGUAACUGUAACUAUUCAUUACAUUCCUUCCACUGGAUAGAUUUGCACCAUUGUUGCAUAUUUAAAAAUUACAAAGAGUUACAGAGCUGAUGAGGCAAAAUUUCUUUAAGCUACUGGUCUCCAUCAAGUGUUCCAGUGCAGCUUUGUACAGAGGACCAUGAAAGAGGAAAGAGAACCCAGAAGGAUGCCUGAGAGAAAUGACUGCUGUUUUGCAUGACCAGAUGAACUAAAUGCAAAAAUCUAAUUUCACUUGAAGAGACGGUAGUGCACAUGGACAGCUAUGAGUGUUGGACAUCAUUGUAAAACAGAACUCCGUCCAGAUGAGAGCGACAAUGAAAAAUCGCAAUAAAAAGUAACCUGGUGAGUUAACAAAAUUCACCCCAAAGCUGAUGACAAUCAACAUCCUUGCAGACAGAAGAUCUAGAAUCAGUUGAGAGUUAAAAAUGUUGAGUGUAAAGAAUUGCUAAUGAGAGAGCUUGAGGACUUGCCUGGGUUUAUGUAUGAAUAAAUUCCCAAGCUGCUGGAAUUGAAUAUUAAAAAGAAACCAUUCUGUAGUGGAAAGGCGGUAUCGAGCUUCUAUGCAGAAAAUGAAAAGGGGCAGAGAAGGAGGGUAACGAAGCAAGUUUCUCAUACUAGGAACGUGGCAAGGACUCAUAAGGCUGCCUAAGCUGCUGGAGAGAUCAUUUUCAAGCCUUCUCUUGGUCCAAGAUCUGAGCAGUGUGGUGGUCACAGCCACCUGGAGCCUCUGCUACAGCGCCUCCCUGCUGAGCUCCCCUUUCCAGAGCAGUGGGCUGAAUCCAAAAGGUGCUCUGUAUAUGAGGCAGCAUUCCCAGGCAUGGCAGAAGGUAAAAAAUGCCCAACCUGCACCAAGCCAGCCAACCCUAUCUUUGCUAAGGCACAAGGCUCUGAGUCGGACAGGCAUGUUGUGGCCCCAACCCCCCAAGAAACGAUGAUUCCACUGCAGGGAAACCUGACCAGGAGAUAGCACAGAAUAGGAAGAGGCUCUGAGGAUGCAGACUUCAUCCAGCCGACCCCGGGGCCAUUGUACUUUUCCUGUGGGUGUGGAUGUUCACUCUGGAGGCAUUGGAACAGGUGGCUCUGGGGUGGAAGGGAUUUCUCCUGCUGCAUUCCUGCACACGCGUUCUCUUGGCCAGAACUGUCUGCAGAGCAGACUCCAUCUUUGCCACGAGGGUGCUAAAG